GCCCCUCUUCAGCACUGCACCAAGGCGCUGGGACCGGCGGCCACGCCCACCGCGCCCCGCUGGCCAAUCGCCGCGCCGCUGGCGGCUGCCCCCCCUCCCCCCCUACUCCUUUUCCUCACCCCCCCCUCUCCCUCUUUUUGGCUCCGCCCGCCCUUGGCAGGGCGCGAGCGCGGCCCGCGCCCGCCCACCCGCCUGUUUGUUAUGGUCGGGGCCACGUGCCGCCGGCUCAGGCGGUCACGCGGCCCGGCCUCGCGCCGCCCCCGGCCGUCGCUGCCGGGGUGAGGGACCCGGUGUGUGACAGGGACCCGGUGUGUGACAGGGACCCGGUGUGUGACAGGGACCCGGUGUGUGAUGGUGCCCGGGGGUGUGGCAGGGGCCCGGUGUGACGGGGCUGCCGUUCUUGGGGGGUCCUGCAGCCCUCCUGCCCGAGGGGAAGUGACCUCGACCCUCCUUUGAGGGGAGCAGCUGUUUGGUCCUUAGCGCCCUGACUCCUGAAGGGCCUUGUCCCUGGUUAGCAGGUAAUAGGAUCACAGAAUGUUAGGGGUUGGAGGGGACCUCAAAAGCUCAUCCAGUGCAAUUCCUCUGCCGGAGCAGGAACACCCAGAUGAGGUUACACAGGAAGGUGUCCCGGCGGGUUGGAAUGUCUGCACAGAAGGAGACUCCACAACCCCCCUGGGCAGCCUGAUCCAGGCUCUGCCACCCUCACUGGGAAGACGUUUCUUCUCGUAUUUAAGUGGAACCUCUUAUGUUCCAGUUUGUAUCCAUUACCCCUUGUCUUAUCAUUGGUUGUGGGUCUGUCCAUGGUCAAGUUGCGACUGCCCAUCUGCAGCUGGCUCUGCCCUCCAGAUAGGGAGGUUUUUCUCUCUGGAAGAGAGCUAUUCUUGCCCGGUAGUUUUUUCAUUUUCUUUCCCCCCUUCACUCCAUGUUUUCCUGCAUAACCCACAGCAGUAGCUGCGUAUCCGCCUAGCCUGGUGUUGUUAAGGCACGCUGCUUUAUGUAGGUAACACAGGGGAGCGCCGCGAGGAUCGUGUUCAGCGAUCAGUCUCCUGAGCCUGAAGCUUUCAGCCUAUUUAUAGGUAGGUUGGGCAGCCUUUAGUGUGAAGGGCUUGUGCCGCGUCUGAAUCCGUGGCGAAGCGAGGUAUCUUAAAUGAUGGCGUUUUGUUUUUCGACAGUUCUUUGGAAAUAGGAUUUUAUGGAAAGCUCUGGAGGAAUGGUUGUUAAUAGGCUAUAUGGUUUUUUUGGAGUCAAGGAACGUAAUGCCAUUUUAAUGCAACUUCUCAGAUAGCAAAGCAAACAGUAAGAGGAUCCGCAGUUCUAGAUCAGCGGCUUCCAGCUUGCAGGGACUGGACCCUGGCCGUUUGCAAACAACUUACGCAGGGCCAGUAGGAAGCAAAGAGGAAAGAAAGGACAUAUGUUUUUUGGAAGCUUAUGUUUGUUAUAGAGAUUUCUGCACUGCUAAAGAUGCUGUGGCUGACAAGCUGGAAAAAAAAAAAUUGCAGGCUGCUUUUCUGGAUCACUGAGAUAUUUUUGGCUUAAAAUAAGUGGAGGAGGGAUGGAAAGAUAAACUGUAUCUGUGUUCAUGUUGUACUGUUUCAAAAUUUAAAAUUCAAGAUAUUUUUCAGAAUUACAUAACCAUUCGUAACAUUGUGCUUCUCAAAUAGCCUUAAAGAGUUAAGUAACAGCAGAUGAACGAGAACAGGUCAAGAAGAGAUGGUUUUAUAACUAGUGGUGAGGACUAUACACGGAUAUUUAAAAUUGCUUUGGAGUUGCACUAGAAAGGAGUCUUCUGUUAGUAGUAGUAGGAUUUUAAUACCCUACAAAUAUAGAACAUGAGAAGGAGGACGGAAAGAUAAGGUUCGCAGUUUUAUGGUGGCGUAGUCCUGUAAAUGGAUCGGGGAUGGUUUAUGGUGCUUCAUGUGCUUUCACUUCUGUUCCAUCGUAACUUUUAUCAGUGCGGUCUUUUUCAUCUGAAAUGACGAGUUUCCAGAUACUGACCAAAGUUGAUGAGGAGGGAAUAUGGCCUUAAAAUAACAAGAGGGGUAAUGGGCUCUGAAAGGAAUGAACGCUGCUGUGGUGGUGGAAGGACUGGGGUGGUAAUGGGCUGUUCUGGGAAUGUGCUCUGAAGAGCUGAUGUUUUGUGUCGGUUACAGGAGUCACUUGAAAUGGUGUUACCUGCAGAAAUACAUUGAUUCAACCUGGGCAGUAUACUUGGUUUGUACGGUUAUAUCUGCAUAUCUUUGUAUUUUUUUGAAAAACAAUAAAAAAAAUAACCUUACCUUAAAAUAGGAAAUUAAUGGGGAGCCGUUGGUUUGUUAGAGAUUUGAGAAUAUCGAAAGGUGCACAGUAACACACCGUGCCAGCAUCUCUUAUUUUUGAGUGUACAUGGAAUUGCUGGUGGAAUUGAUGCACCAGGAAAUUGCUUUUUCUAUUUUUGUUGGUGAGAUGCAGUUAAUGUAAAAUGAGCCCUUUGGAUCCCAUAUCCCAUUUCUCUUUAAUAUAACUAAGAUCAUUUAUCUUCUCAAGACAGCUAGAGGAAAAAAUACUUCAUUUUGUAACUUAGUUCACCUUCUCUUCAAUUGCUGUCAGUUCAUGACGAGGCACAGAGUGUGCUGUACACUGUGUUCUGCAGAGCUGUUUUGGUGACGAAUACGAUGUAUAUGAAAAAAAAAGGGCUAUAAAAAUAGGUAUUGUGCCAGUUCUCUCCACUUUUUAUAUAAACAAUACCAAUUUAUAUCUUAAAGAGGUACUCAAAGUUUCAUUUUAGGAUCUUGUAUCUUGCCAAAUUUUAGUGGCGUAAAAGGUUGUUAUUUUACUCUUUGGAAGUACUUAAAAAGCAUCUGAAAAGGAAAUAGUUAAACUAGUGUUUGUAUUGGUUUUGAGAUAGGAAGUAGCGAAACCUUUUAUUUUCUGUUUUAAUAAAAAGGGAAAUUGUGAACUUAUUUUAAAAAAUAUAUGUUUCUGCUACUGGUAGCCUAUUAUAUGGUUAAAAUUAAAAGGACCAGUUUAAUCCAGGCUAGAUUUUACUUUGAAUUGCUAUCAUCAUGUGUUUACUAUGUUUCUUUCAUAUUUAAAUACGAAAACCAUGGAGUCAUGUUUUUUUCCUCUCGUCUGAUUAGCUGUAGUUGAUCGUGCUGUAUUUGCACAGUGUUUUUCCAUAAACAUCUUGCUUCUGGAGUUAUUGUAGUAUGAGAAUAUGAGCUUGAAAAUAUGAUAUAAAGGGUAAAAGUGCUUGCAAACAUGAAUGCUGAAAUACAAAGUUAAAAAAUAAUCCUUCCCCGGCAGUUCUUUCAAGUCAGUUUGAUAAUUUUACAUCCUGACUCAUGGCUUUCUAAUUGACUGGAGAUGAAAUUAACGGGGCUGCAACUGUUUGUCACAAAUUUAAGCAUAAACAGUAUUUUUCUUUUGGCUUUGGAUUUCAUGAAAACGCAGUAUAAAAUCCACCGUCCUUUGUUGGUCUGUCAGGAUGCUGCACCUCAGCCAGGAGAUGCAGCAUUGUUGUCUACAGUAGUGAGGCUGGAAAUGGGAAUUAUUUCUUCUGAGUUUUACCCCUACUGAUGCCAGAGGUUUCAUCCUUCCAUAGAUUUCUGAUCUGGGCAUUGAAUGCUUGCAGAGGCUACUAAUUAAUGGACUUUCAUUAACUACCUUGAGCUCUAGGAAGGAACGUGUUAAAUGUCCCCAGUAUUGUGCUUCUCUACAGACGUAAGUUUGGAGCUCUCUGAAAAACUGACAUCCAUAUAGCAAAAACAUUAAUAAUGGUAGUAAAGCAGUCAGCCUGAAAAUGUUUUGUAAGUUUCUUAUAUAAAGUGAUGUCUUUGGCAGGACAAUAAAAAAGUUAUAAUCGUAACAAUAUGCUUAUAUUGAAUAGUUUUAAUUGUUGUGGCUAUUGAAGCUCUGCUGUUGACAGUGGUUUAUUUUAUGAACGCUGUAGUUGAAACGUGUAAAAUUUUGUUGGUGAGGGGAGAUAGUUCUACUCUUGUUGGGCUUCACAGUAAGCUGAAUUUCAGUAUACCAUUACUUGAGAACUAUCUCUUUUUCAUAAUUCUUAUUAUGUUAGGAAGCAUUAGUGAAGCACUCGUGGUAAGGGUGUUGGUUUGUUUUGUUUUGUUUUUUUCCUCUGGCUUGUAUUAUACUAAGGUAUAAACAGAAGAAAUUGAGAAACAAAUGGUUUAAAGGGCAUUUCUAACACCAUUUAUAAACCAUAAUUUCACCAACACUCCUCUGAAUGUGUCUUGUUUAGGGAGUAGGUCCUGUUGAAGAACAAAUUCUGCAAUCACGUAGUAAGUAAACAGUCUGUAAAUACAAAGCUACUAAAGCAGACGUGAUACUUUUUCUGCCCUAUAUUGCAAAUUCUUACUCUCCUGCAACUGAAACCAUGAUGUGCUUAUAUGUAAAGAAUGCUGCACAGUAGUUUCAUCUUAACAGAAAACUUGUGAAGUCAAUGUGCUAGUAAUAUCGAGAUUUUUCCCCUUUAUGUCAUCUCCUAGAUUGUCAGAAGCAGCAGUUAGUUGCCUGGGUGAGCAGGAUGCUGAGAGGCAAACCUGGUAAGCAUUGUGCUCUACUAUUACAAAAUGUAGGUAUUUCUGCAUCCCCCCACCCAUACUGAUUAGCCUGUAUGCUACACCAAAAUCUAUCAGUUUGAGUGCAGCUACUGUGCUGCUGAGGUUGAAAUAAUCCUUAUUUUUUCCAUAGUGCUUAUUAGCUUGGGUUGAACAUUGUCUGCAGGACUUCUCGCAGUACAGGCAGAGGGAGUUUGCAUGUGUCUGGAAAAUAUACCUUGAAUGUGGGCUAAUUCUUUUUCAUCUAUGUUGUCGCUGUGUACAAUUUUGGUGGUGUAUACAUUUUCGGAAAAGAAGGAUGAUUUUUGGACUCAUUUCGUAACAUUGUGUAUGGAAUACCCAGAAAAUGUGCUAAUUUGAAUAGUACCUAUAUUAUGUUGAAGUUACUGAAUUUUAGUGUAACUGUAGGAGCUUGUGCAGACACCGUUGCAAAAUGAAGGCUUUAUAAACUGCAAUGUGCAGAGGACAUAAGGUAGAAUUGAACUGAUGAUCAUGUUUGGGGGGGGGUGGGGAGUGGAGGCGGAGAACAAACAAGACACCAAAAUAAACCAAUCCAAAAGCAAACAAAAAAAACAAACCGAAACAAACCCAUAAGCAAACAACAAAACCCAAACAAACAAACCAACACCUCCCCCCCAAAAAAAAAAACACCCCAAAACCAAACAACAACAAAACAAAAAAACUAAAAAACCAACGUUGUCUGUUUUAUCUUGGUUGCUAUUUACGUCAGCAAAGGAAGGUGUUGCCCAGUGGCCAGAUCCCGGGUGGUUGGUGGUAGUUCGUCCAGCAGAGAUGUGUUUGAAGCUGAACAUAUCUUCGUGUUUUAUUAUUGAACUCGGGAGAUUUCUUGCUUCCCAGUUAGGUAAGCAGCUGUGAAUCUCCUGGGAGGGAGAAGAUGCGUCUAUCCAUGGUGUUUACUUUUCACAGGAGGAGAAAAAGACAUUUCUGACUGUCAUCUGGAUUUGUUUUGUAAACUGAAAGCACUGUUAAUGCUUUUAACGAGGUUUAGUUGCUGCAUCAUUGUGACUUCUGCAGUUUGGCAUGUUUACUCUCUCCCCCCCCCCAUUUUUUUUUUAAACAUAAUUUUAAAUGUUACAUUGGCUGUAUGGACUGUAGCUCCUGGGAGAUUUUUAUAUUCUGAUUUCUGUGACUUUAUGGCAGCGCCCCAGGGUCCUGGAGCAAUCAGUGUUAAGUUUAUCCUAUUGACAGAGAACACGAUUCCAUAUCUGUGAGAAGCAAUAUUUUUUUUUAUACUGAGAUACACAUGUAGAGAAGACACACGUAAGAAAAGCCUGAAUGAAGCAGCAGUGUUAAAAUCCUGCCGUGUUAAAUCCUGCUCGCCUUGUGAGGGGGCUGCGGGUGAUAUUUAAUUGCGGGAGGUGUUUAGGCUCGUUUUGGGGAGUCUGUUGGGGGUGGCAGAGGGAUGUACGAGGGCCGUUGCCCUCUGCUGGAGGCAUCCAGCAGUGCAGGGCUGUGUGUGGGCCCCAGCAGCCACAAACUGCUCUCUGGGCUCUCGGAUGGCGUUCUCUUGCUCGCUUGUCACUUCAGCUUGCUUGUCACCUCAAGUUCAGAGAUGCCAUCUUUCUUCUAGAGCUGGAACAGUAGUCCCUGUUCAGACCAGAUAAUCUGAUUCCUCCUCUUCCUUUCGUGUCUGUGUCCGUGGGUAUCUGUUCAGAGAAGCCUGUAUUUGUAUAAAUAGAAAGCUCCAAGGAUGGAUCCAGCAUUACGGGACCUGCUGCUUCUCUGAAGAUUAUUGUCCUGAAGCCACAACUUAUUCUGGUAGCUUUGACGGAGAAUUGCGCACCCUUCCCGCAAAAGAGGAAAUAAGACAGGUUUAAUAUUCGGAUUGUUAGCCCUGUCAGUUUUCAGUAACCCAGAGAUAUUAGUAUAACAAUAUUGACCUAGAAAUUAGUAUUUUGAAUGUAAAAUAUACUUAAAGUUGAUUAGUGUUCAGACAAUAUGGAACAGAAAUGAGGUCUGUCCAACUUAAUAUAUGUAGCUACCCUAACGUCAAAUGUAACUGCUGUUCUGACAAUUCUGUGUAGCACAACUAUUUCAGUGUUUGCAUGGGGUUUUUUUUUGUUUGCUUUUUGUUUGUUCGUUUGGUUUUUGCCUUUUUUGUGGCGUAGGAAAAUGCUUUUUUUUCCUAGUCUUCAAGAAACUCCAGUUUUCAUAUAGAACUGGUGUUGAGGUUAAAGGGAGUUAACAAGGGCAGAGUUCAGCUAUAUUGCUACAGUGGGAGUUCAGUGGGAACCUCUGUUCUCCCAGCCCUUCUUAAGUAAUUGCUGACAUUCAUGAGGAAGUCCUUGCUGAAUAUUGGAGAGGAAAAAGUCAGAAAUGGUUACUAGGGAGAAGUAACCAUAAAUUGUGAGUUGAAAUGUUAUUUACUGAGUAAAGCUGAAUUACUCAAAAGCAGUAUUACUUCGAUAAUGAAUGAAUGGCAUCUAUAAGCAGCAAUAAUGUGUACUGGAGACCAAAACUGCAUAAUAUAGCAGAGGGGAGAAGUGCUGGCAGAGAUGUUUGAUAGGUUAGCCCAGGCCCUUAACAUUGUGAUGGGAGAGAAGCAUCUUCUAGAGCGCUAUUUCUAUUACAGAAGCAUGGGAAAGAGAUUUUCAUGGGGCAGCCUGGAUGGCUGUAUGAUUCAGUAUGAUUCCCCCAACAGUUUUCAGGCUACAAAUUGAAACCCUCAUUGCUCCCCUCAAAAAGCUAUUCCACUGUCUGAUUUCAUUGAUUUUUAGAAAUCUAGUUCUCGGUUCCAGCGCAAAUGUAGUUCACAGCCAGCUUACAUUCAUUUGUUGUACAAAUAGUGUAAAUACCUCUUUUCUCUCCCUUGUGUUUUGCAUGUGCUGCAUCUGCAGAUAGCAGUUAUAUUAAUUUAUAGCUCUCAUUUUGUUCUAAACCAGCUGUUCUUAACUUUUUCAUGCCCUUCCCCCUUGUCAGGAUGUAUUGCAUGCCCCUGUAGUUUUAAAGACCACUGGUUUUAAAAACAAGCCCUUUUAGGCUUUUCCUGUAAAGUAAACUUCGUGUUCCUGUGGGUAAAGUUAUUUUUGAGAAGGUUCAUGUAAGAUUAUUCUCUUAGUUGCUGGAUCAGGUGAAUAUUAUAAAUACAAUUUGUCAUGUCUAGUGUUAUCCUGGUCAUAGUCUUUUUAAGGUACAUCUGGUUGUAUUUAUUUCUUUUGUUGAUGUUUUCUUUUGAAAUUAUGAAGUCCUGCUAUUAUCGUGAACAGGUUUGAUUCUGUUCCAGAUGCUAUGGGCUGAUAAUAGCAGUAAUGCGUCUUCUGGCAGUUCCUUACAAGAUCAGUUAACAUGAAAAAAUUGCGUUUACCCAAACUAUAUGAGGUCUACUUUGCAAGUUUGUGAUGUGCUUAAAUUCCUAAUAGGCUGUAAUUUCUUUCUUUCUUUCUUUCUUUCUUGCUCUGCUACUUUAGAAGAGUCUUCCUGGCUAGAUUAAAACUGGAAGUCAGCUCUGAGACUUUCAAACGCAGUCUGUUUGGUAGCUAUGUCAACAUUAAUUGUUGUAUACCUCUAAUGUUACCAUAUAAACUGCCAUCUCUUCUGGCCUGCAAAGUUUAUCCUGGGUAAACUCUGCGCGGCCUAUUUAAUUUUCAUAUUUGAUCUGUAAAUCUUUGCAAAGACCUUAACAAAUGUUGUUAACUGUUCAUUGUUCUUCUUGGUAAUGUGGAUAGAAAUGGAUAAAGUUUUUGAAAAAGGUUGUGAUUCUUUCUCACUUCAGGAUUUUUUCCCUUUGUCCCAUUUUGAAAUGUUCCUUUACGGUUGUGCCUGCUAUCAUUAUCCAUACUAGAUCUUGUCUCCAGUCUGCUGCUGCCUUGCAGGAAACAAAAACACGGGUGAUUAAGUCCAUCCUCUUCCUGCAGGUGGCAUUCAUGAUUCCUCUGUGUUCUUCAGUUGUUUUUCUGCCUUUCCUGCAGCAAAAUGGGACUUUGCCUGUUUGCUGAAUGCCAGGUCAUCUUUGUGGUUUGGUGGUUCUGGUAAUGGAAAGAAAGAAUCUACAAGAGAGUAGAAAUUCCGGUAAGGAAGGGCAGCAGUGGGUAGGUCCUCUUCAUCCACUGUGUCCUUGCUGUGAGUGGAGGGCCCUGCAGGGUGUCCUGUUCUGUUAGCAUUACAAAGUUUAGCCACAGUCAGGCUCUAAGAUCAGCUUUCAGUCAUAAUGCGUGUUUUCUGCUCUUCUUGCCCCUCGCUGCAUGAAGAUGAAUGCAAAGUCUGUCUUAUGCUCUCGGUAGUGUUGAAGGUAAUCCCCCUGCAGAUUGCAGCUGUAUCAUUUGUAAUUUAGCGAUUUCUUGAGUGCGGAAUGUGAUAGUCAUACCUGGGUUUUUUCCUGUAGAUCAGGGCCUGUAACUAAGUGACAUCACAUCCUGUGGUUGUCAGGUAUAUGCACUGUGUGUACUAGAUGGAUGGAGGUUCUCAGGAUAGUUCCUUUUAAGACUGGCUUGGUAGCAGCAUCUCUUGCAUAAUGGAUUUUUGAGUCUGAUUUUCCCUGCUAGCAUUAUUUUAAUUUAAAACUGAUGAAGAUCAUAAAGAUGUAUGUAUUCAGCUAAUCGGUACUCAGCUGACCCCUCUACUUCUACGUUCUGUGCCUCUCAAGGGUUCUGUUAAAUAAUAUUUAUAUUAAUAGUACCAUCUACUGCUGAAUUCCUCCUGUGGCUUAUAAAAGCAUAUUUAACUAUUACAUUAACCAGCUUCACUGCUAGCUCAGGAUUCAGGUUGUUUGUAUUUGCAGUUCUGCUGCUAAGUUCUUUGUCUCCUGUGUGUGUUGUAAAUAACAGAGGUUGGGGCUGCGGAGGAGGAGUUUUCUGACAGCCUGGGCAGCUGGGGCUGUGAUUCCCCAGCCCUGCAUGGGAAGGGGCUCUCUGGAACUGUCUUGAGAUAAAUCCACAGUCCCUUUGCCUUCCUGGGUUGUUUAAUAUAUGUGGAUCAGCAUCAUGAGCAAAGAGGGCACAGCAGAGGAGGCAGCAGGCGAGUGGAGUGCUAUCUGUAGGCAGCGGUUCCUGACAGAGGAUGAAAGCACAGAAGCGCAGAAACUUGCACUAGAUAAGAUUAAAAAUCAGAGUCUGUGAAGAAGAGGCAGAUAACUAACAAUAAGGAGACCAGAACAGGUGAGGUUCUCUUUUAGGAAAGCUUAAUAUAAAAAGUUAAACAAAAACGUUUUCUUUGUACACAAAAAUGAAAUUGGAACAUUUCAUAGAACUUUUCUAUAUUUCAUCUGGUUACUAGCAAUUCAUAUUGCUAGUACAUAUUGUUAUGUACUUUUGCUAACUUAAGACGGAUAUCCAUUAGAUUUUGUAAGCUGUUUAUUAUAUUACCUACUUGUGGGGUGGGGAAGAGAACAGGAUAUUCCCAUAGGAAGGUGCCGUCCCAUACUCAGCUUUGUGACAAGAUGGCAAUAUCUGAAGCUCUCACAUUUGCUUGCCCAUCUUCCUGUAUGUUGACUUUCUGCUUGGAUCUUCCAUAAUCUUAACAAUUGGCCAUGUUCAUUUGCUUACUCCCCUUUCUUACAAGUGCUGGUGUCCGACUUGAUUUUGUAAAUACAGAAAGUUAGUGCGUUUUCUUGAAAGAACCAUUGAAUUGGUGGAGGGGUUAACUUCAGAGAUGUCAAGUGCCUGAAGCUCUGGUGCAGAAGUUAAUUCAGGAAUAAAGCAGGAAUUUAAAUAUAGAUUUCACUCUAAGAUAUGUCUUUGUGCUACCAUUAGAUUAAUGUGUUGGCCCGGGAUAAUGCUGGCUUUUGAAGAGCUUAUCUUCAAAUGUUUAAAAAUCUGUUCUUGUGUUUUACCAUAAACUGAUGUGGUCCAGCAGUCAUCUGGCUCUCAUACUGGAAAUAUUUUCUUUUCCUUUUACGUGACUCAUUACCAUGCAUUUGUAACUAUGGUUAUUUUCUCUUAAAGGAUUUGUUCUGCCCUUUAAUUAUAUGAUAUGGGACAUUCAGGUUUGACGUAUUACCAAUGUAGGAAUUCCUCCAGGACUGCUAGCUUCUAAACAGAUCUUUUUAGGCCAUGUGCCCAUAAAAUUACCAAUCCUCUUACUACUUCUGCAUUAGUCUAAAUUAGGAUUUCAGUGAGGUUACUUUGCCCUACUGCAUGUGUGGAUCUUAAAAUGUACUUCAGGUGUCAAAGUGUUGCUUACAAUCUAUUUGGUGUUGGUAGCAGUGGUGUGUACUUAGACUGAUGUAAAUGACGAGUGAACUACCAUAGCAGAUGUUAUUACUGAUAAAUCAGACUCCACAGAGAUUAAAAAAAAACAAUGAAGAAUUGUUGCCUGCACAUACUUGUUUUCACUAAGGUAUUUGUUUAAUAGCUAGUGAUAAUUUCCGUUUCUUCUUGCGUUACUGUGUUCUUCUGUUUGCUGUAAGACUUUUCUUGUUACAAUCAGAAAAUGAGAAUACCUGGUUUUGUUUAGGAGAAGAUGUAACUGAUACUUGCUGAAGGUUUGCAUUGCAAUUUUUGUCCAUUGUUUUAUUGCUGAAAAGAGGUCAUUUUGUUUUUCAAAACCGCCUCAGUUUUAUUCAUUAUUUAUUUAGUAUUUGAUAAUUAUUAUUUCUUACCUUGAGUUCUUGGUCUAAGAUGCUGCAGAAUUACUGGUAACCUCUAGUAAAGCUAUUGAAAUGGUGUCCUAGCUUUCUUAGUCUUGCCACUUGGUAUAGGAAGCCUGGUGUCUUCUAAUUGCUAAAUAAUCUGUACUUCACAAAAAUAAAACUCUAUCUUAAGAACAGUUUUUUUUUUUACUUCCAUUAUUAGAGUAAGAAGUAAGAUUCUAACCUUCAGAGCAUCCAGCGUCUUAAGACUUUGAAUUUCUAGCCUAACAUUUUGAAGGGCCAUUUCAUACUAACUUUUUUCUUUUUUAAUGGUAAUUGCAAGUUUUGCCUUAUGCAGAUCUCUUAGCUCCUGUUUAUUGACUGAAUGCUCAUAUGACCAGGAAUUAUAUUGCUUACUACCCCUUCAGUCAGGUAAGCAAACAAAACUUCUAGUGCAUGUUCCAUUCUUCCGAUCAUCCUGAACUGUGCCUACUCUGCAUACCCAGCUCAGAUCUGAGCUGGAUUUGCACCUUAGCUUGCCUGCUGCCCACACUGCUCAAACAGCAUGGGAUACAGUGUCCCUUAGCAUCUCUUAAUAUCCUCCAGAACAUUUGAAGUCUGUGGUGAGUUAGCUUGCUGUGCUGGGCUUUGAUGUGUAGUGCAGUUGGAAUUGUUCAUCAAAGCAGAAACAUGGUUUAAGAAACUAUUCUUAAUCAUCUUGCUGUCGUUAGCUGCGGCUCUGCAGCUGAGACUGCAUGAAAUGACUGCUUGAGUCGUCCUCCAUUUCCUGCCUCAGAAACUUUGUGGUCCUGCCUUUCGUUUUGGAACUGGUGCUCUUGUGUCAUUUCCCAGCUGAGACCAGUGUGGAGGCUGCAGGUGCUUCUUCUUUUCACUUCGUUCAGCUGAUUGCUGCAGUUGAACAGUUUAACAUAAACCACUGAUGGAACAGAAUAACAAAGCAGGAGCUCGUGCAGGCAGGCAUCCGUCGUUGCUGGGAGGCAGCAGGAACAAGCAGCCACUUUCUCUCCAUUUAUACUGGUGUUCCUCUUCUGCUCUUUUCCUACUCGUGGUCUAGAGUGAAUCCUUUGUCUGCUGUCACUGAUCUUGACUGAGGAAUUGUAAUUCUUGGUCUAAGACCACUGCUGGCGGGCAGGUGGUGUCCUUUUUUCUUUUUAAACUUACAGUGAACUUUUACACUUACAGUGGACCAGGUCUGUGCAUACUGGCAAGCACUGGUCUCUCAGUUAAAAGGUAGAGGUCAGCAUCUGUUGCCAUUUCUGCUACCUGAGAGCACAUUCUUUUCAUGCUCGAGUGUGAAUUUGUCUUUCUUAAACAGGGCACACACAGUAAUUAAAUGAAGUUUCCAGGUAGACUGGGGUUGCAGUUGUUUUAUUUCACAGGUAUGUCACUCUGAUGACCCAGGGUCACUUUAUAAUGGGCUACGCUUUUCCUUUCUUUAUAGUUCAGAAAUUAAGGAACUGUUUACCUGGCGGGAAUAUGCAUUAUACCCAGGUAUUGGACUGAAUCUUCUGCUGUUGAAAUUCUCUCUUACUCGAGUCUGUGAGGUUAUCCAGUUCUUUUUAGAGACUAUCCUGUUUCUCCUUUCUUAACUCAGUUUUAUCAACAAAACUUAGGA
Molecule: long non-coding RNA, 12718 nt
Organism: Columba livia (rock pigeon)
Lineage: Eukaryota; Metazoa; Chordata; Aves; Columbiformes; Columbidae
Exons: 2
Source: RefSeq, a predicted model, not a curated record